AGUGAACGCUGGCGGCAGGCCUAACACAUGCAAGUCGAGCGGCAGCGCGGUCCGACCACCCUCGGGUGGUCGGAUGGCGGGCGAGCGGCGGACGGGUGAGGAAUGCAUCGGAAUCUGCCUCGUUGUGGGGGAUAACGUUCGGAAACGGACGCUAAUACCGCAUACGUCCUACGGGAGAAAGCGGGGGAUCUUCGGACCUCGCGCCAUUAGAUGAGCCUAGGUCGGAUUAGCUAGUUGGUGAGGUAAUGGGCUCACCAAGGCGACGAUCCGUAACUGGUCUGAGAGGAUGAUCAGUCACACUGGAACUGAGACACGGUCCAGACUCCUACGGGAGGCAGCAGUGGGGAAUAUUGGACAAUGGGCGAAAGCCUGAUCCAGCCAUGCCGCGUGUGUGAAGAAGGUCUUCGGAUUGUAAAGCACUUUAAGUUGGGAGGAAGGGUAGUAACCUAAUACGUUGCUACUUUGACGUUACCGACAGAAUAAGCACCGGCUAACUUCGUG
Molecule: ribosomal RNA, 501 nt
Filed under: uncultured bacterium
Lineage: Bacteria
Description: bacterial SSU rRNA
Rfam family: Bacterial small subunit ribosomal RNA
Source: RNAcentral